AAAAAGCUAGCUUAAUUAUUCAUAUUUAGGAAUUGUACAAUUUCUGGGACCAAAUUGUGGCUAUCUUUGCCUGAAAAAAGGUGACCAUGCCUGAUGUCGUCACAUAUAAAGAACACAACAUUCUGCAAAUCUUUGAAAAGUAAGGAAAACAAUCAUCAGGGAAACAGAUUCCACCACUAUAACUUGUGUAUUUAGAUAUUUCAGCAAGCCUUACCCUUUAAAUAUUUAACUUUAACAGUCUCGAGUGGAGAAAUAUCAUAACACACUUGUUGCGGUGGUGGAGUCUAUAUAUCUAUAAUGUAUUUGAAUUUGAUGUUUUAUAUCAGAAUUGUGGUGCCUAAAAUAUUAAAUAUUAUGAAACUACAGGUUGUAAAUAAAAAUUAAUGAUCAGGGCAUUGAGUUUCAAAUUGUAAACCAAACUUUAUAUGAGAUACAUGUAUAAUAAUGACA
Molecule: long non-coding RNA, 450 nt
Filed under: Mytilus galloprovincialis (Mediterranean mussel)
Lineage: Eukaryota; Metazoa; Mollusca; Bivalvia; Mytilida; Mytilidae
Source: RNAcentral